Molecule: ribosomal RNA, 490 nt
Filed under: uncultured bacterium
Lineage: Bacteria
Description: partial 16S ribosomal RNA
Rfam family: Bacterial small subunit ribosomal RNA
Source: RNAcentral
AUUGAACGCUGGCGGCAUGCCUUACACAUGCAAGUCGAACGGCAGCAUGAUCUAGCUUGCUAGAUUGAUGGCGAGUGGCGAACGGGUGAGUAAUACAUCGGAACGUGCCCUGUAGUGGGGGAUAACUAGUCGAAAGAUUAGCUAAUACCGCAUACGACCUGAGGGUGAAAGUGGGGGACCGCAAGGCCUCAUGCUAUAGGAGCGGCCGAUGUCUGAUUAGCUAGUUGGUGAGGUAAAGGCUCACCAAGGCGACGAUCAGUAGCUGGUCUGAGAGGACGAUCAGCCACACUGGGACUGAGACACGGCCCAGACUCCUACGGGAGGCAGCAGUGGGGAAUUUUGGACAAUGGGCGAAAGCCUGAUCCAGCAAUGCCGCGUGUGUGAAGAAGGCCUUCGGGUUGUAAAGCACUUUUGUCCGGAAAGAAAUGGCUCUGGUUAAUACCUGGGGUCGAUGACGGUACCGGAAGAAUAAGGACCAGCUAACUACGUG